Molecule: long non-coding RNA, 871 nt
Filed under: Homo sapiens (human)
Lineage: Eukaryota; Metazoa; Chordata; Mammalia; Primates; Hominidae
Description: non-protein coding lnc-SCAMP3-1:1
Source: RNAcentral
GGGUUAAGGAGAGCUGAUUUUGGGUGAGGGAGGGGCCAGAACAAGAGCUUCUCUCAGGGGAUAGGGCCAGAAAAAAUAAUGUAGAUGAGAGAGGAGUUUGGGGGCCCAGGAGGAGCUGUAUUCCCAGAAUCCAGACUUGCUGACCUGCUCGCUUCCCCAGCAGCUGGCCCCUGAGCGGUCAGUCUCAGGCCCACUGGGACCUCUGGGCUGCACGUCCCCGCCCCCAGCCCCUCUCCUACACACCAUGCUGGACCUGGAGGAAUUUGUCCCGCCUGUGCCCCCACCGCCCUACUAUCCCCCAGAGUAUACCUGCAGCUCAGAAACAGAUGCACAGAGGUAAGGCCUGGUGGGGUCUUGCUGGGGGAGCUAAGGAAGGGGACUGGGGCUGGGCCUGGAUUGCUGGAGAGAGGGAUCUUUGUGGAGGGGGAAUUAUUUCUCCUACAUUGACCCUCUUCCUCAUCUGCCAGCAUCACGUACAAUGGCUCCAUGGACAGCCCAGUGCCCUUGUACCCUACCGAUUGCCCCCCUUCUUAUGAGGCAGUCAUGGGACUACGAGGAGACAGCCAGGCCACUCUCUUUGACCCUCAGCUUCACGAUGGCUCGUGCAUCUGUGAACGAGUGGCCUCCAUUGUAGACGUGUCCAUGGACAGCGGGUCUCUGGUGCUGUCAGCCAUUGGUGACCUCCCUGGGGGCUCUAGCCCGUCGGAGGACUCGUGCCUGCUGGAGCUGCAGGGCUCCGUGCGCUCCGUGGACUACGUUCUCUUUCGCUCCAUCCAGCGCAGCCGUGCCGGCUACUGCCUCAGCCUGGACUGUGGCCUGCGGGGCCCCUUCGAGGAAAGCCCCCUGCCACGGCGCCCCCCACGGGCUGCCC